GGAGAGUUCCUCACCUAAGUGCUGUGGAGGGAAUUCGCGAGUUUGCUGCUCCACUGAGGUUAUAUUUUGCUCCGCUUUUGUACUGACAGAUUGCUGGAAAUCAUCCAGCACCAACUGUUUGACAAAAGCUGAGGAGCGGGGGAUUGGGAGUUCCAAAGAGAUUCAAGGAUGUUGGAUGAUCCAGCAAAUUUGCUAAAAUAUGCGCAAUCUUAUUUGCAUCUUAUAAAUCCAGACUACAUGCACAAUGUAUUGGUCAAACAAGGAAAUACGGAUAUCCUCUAUAACAGUGCCUAAGUCGGAGAGGAUCUCGUCGGAGCUACUAAUUUGCUUUAUAGCUGAUGACGCGUCUCCUUCAAGAAUUAAGCUUGGGAUCAUCAAUAUCUUGGCUGACAAAACCGCCUCCCUUGCAGCAAGAGCCUCUGCCAACUCUGCACUGGAUAGGAUGCGCACUUUCUUGGAUAAACCUUCUUUGUGAUGUUCCUAUUCGCCCAGAUUCCUUUUGCAUCUUUUGCUUUGUGCGUGGGUUCCACGAUAGCUUUAUUUUUCUCUUUUAUUCUAUUGGUGUUUUCCGGGUGCAUGUAUUAUUCCAUCAGUUACGUGAAGCAAAUUGGUCUGCUUGGAGGUUGGACUCAUGCAAAAAUACGUCUUUCUGUAUCUUUUUGAUCGUGCAUGCUUUUGCCAAUGCUUCGAAUGAUAUUUUCUUGCCUUAUCCGUCUGUUGCUUUUCAUCUUUUGUAUUCUUCUGCUGCGGUGUGCCUUAGGUUUGGCUGCUGAUUAUAUGCUGAAUUUUUUGGCAUGGAUGCAUGCUAUGUUUUUGGUUUCUGGUAGUUUCAUUUGUAUUUUUUAUAUGAUCUUUCCAUGACCCGCCUA
Molecule: non-coding RNA, 869 nt
Organism: Coffea arabica (coffee)
Lineage: Eukaryota; Viridiplantae; Streptophyta; Magnoliopsida; Gentianales; Rubiaceae
Source: RefSeq, a predicted model, not a curated record